This 2005-nucleotide long non-coding RNA is filed under the name Homo sapiens (human). RNAcentral's name for it is "HSALNT0283602". The stretch from base 1199 to 1414 matches the Rfam family "Small nucleolar RNA U3". The record is from RNAcentral. Lineage: Eukaryota; Metazoa; Chordata; Mammalia; Primates; Hominidae.
CUAUAGCUAAAUAAAAGACACAUUCAUCCUUCUCCUUCUGACUGCUUUGAACAUUUAUAGCAUCUCAUAACUGUAGUUUUCCAAAGCUUGGAUUGGAACUUUUCAAGUCCUUUUUUGGAGGACAAAGGAAGUGACAGCUUUUCUGAGAAACAUGUUUUUAAAUCCAAAGGCUUUAACCACAUUCCUUGCACAUGAACAUGUUUGCUUUUUUUUCCCUUCCCUCAUUGUCUCCUUCCCAUCUAAUACCAUUGAAGUUAUAGACAUCUGCAUUUUUAGCAGAGUUUUAUCCAUUCGUUUUUAAAAACUUGAAAAAUGCAGAUGUUGAAGAAAUAAUAAGUAUCCUGCCCUUUUAUACUUUGUGGCAGGAUUGUGCUAUAAGCAAAUGAAUCAAGCAACUAUGUAAAUCAUAAACAAAAACUAAAAACGAACCAAAGUAAAAAGGAUAACUUCCAGGUAGCAUCUUUCUAUUCUAACCUGUCAUUUAAGGGAAUACUAGUGAUUUAUUCUAAACAGGAUGUAAAACUUACUCCAGAUUACUCUUCCUCUGUCCCGCCUGGCAAGAACUCAAGUAUAACUGUGGUAUAGCAGCUCUUCCCAGGUAUACUGGUUAUACACAGGUUUGUGUGUGAUCUCAGAAUACACAGCCGACAUAGAUAUGAUAUGAUAAUUGGUAAUGGCAAGUUCAUUUACAUUCUUUACACUUCUAUGACCAGGCCUUAAGGAAAGAACAGUUUUUUAAAGAACCAGGUAGUGUCUUCCUACCUAUCUCCAAAUACAUGUCAAAAAAUAAGGGUGUUUGUGCUUUGACUUUGUUUUUGCUCAGUAACACAGUCAAGCAACAGUUUGUUUCCAAGUGGCCCAUUGAGCUGUGUAAGCAUUUUUGUUUAUUUCAAAUAAAGUGCAUUGGUAUCAUUUGUUAUUCAUGCUAUGCAUCCAUACCACGCUAUCUUCUGUAUCAGGUAGUCUAACAGAAAUGUACCCAUGUUGUUAGAAGAAAGAAAGAAAGAAAGAAAGAAAGAAAGAAAGAAAGAAAGAAAGAAAGAAAGAAGCAAAAUACAAAGAUUGGCAACCACCCCCAAAAUUAAUAACUCGUUUUAUUACCAAAGCUGUGGAAAAGUAAACACUCUCAUACAUUCCUAAUGGGUAGUAUAAACUCCAAUAAAGGGCAAUUUGGCAUUAUCUAUCAAAACUAAGAAUAAGGGCUAUACUUUCAGGGGUAAUUUCUAUAGUUCAUUACUAGAGUAGUUUCUCUGAAUGUGUAGGGUGCCAGAAACCACAAGGAGGAGGCACAGCAUUCUCUAGUGAGUGUGAAGCCGGCUGUUGGUGUUGCUUCGCUGAAACUGCCAUUUGCCACUGAUAAUCGUUCUUCUUUUCCAUCAGGAGACUAAGAGGUAGAAAACGCAGUCUGAGUGGUAUUUAAAAAAUUACAAAUACAUAAUUUUCCAUAGAACCAGCAAUUCAAUUUUUGAGUGUUUGCCAAUAUAUCUGAACACAUAUAAAAUAUGUACAGUGUUCUUAAUUUCAGCUUUUUUAUAACAGCAAAAGAUUGGAAAUGAUGCAAGUAUCUCUUAACAGCAUACCGGUUAGAUAAUUUAAGAAUCAUUCAUACAGUGAAAUACUAUGACAUAUAAAAGAAUGAGGAAACUUUAUUUGUACCAAUAUGAAAAGAUCUCCAAGAUGUAUUGCUAAGAGUAGAAAAAUCAAGGUGCCAAACACAGUAUAAUACACUAUGUAAGAAAGGAGGUAAAAUAAGAAUGUAUAUGUUACAUAAAGAACCCUGAGGCUGGGCACGGUGGCUCUCGCCUGUAAUCCCAGCACUUUGAGAGCCCAAGGCAGGCAGAUCAUGAGGUUGGGAGAUUGAGAACAUCCUGAACAUCCUGGCUAACACGGUGAAACCCCGUCUCUACUAAAAAUAAAAUAAAAAAAAAAAAACCUAGGCGUGGUGGUACGUGCCUGUAGUCCCAGCUACUUGGGAGGCUGAGGCAGAAGAAUUGCUUGAACCCGA